Non-coding RNA from Pelobates cultripes (western spadefoot toad), 1277 nucleotides. Lineage: Eukaryota; Metazoa; Chordata; Amphibia; Anura; Pelobatidae. The record is from the annotation of a GenBank genome assembly.
GUCCUUUACAAUAAUUUUUCCCCCCAACUUGAAUUUUUUUGAUUAUCAAAAUGUUCAAAGUUAGCAAUCAUUACAUUGUGCAGUAAAUACAACGCGUGAGACAACAUGUUGACAUUACAUAUCAAUAUGUUCAGUGUAUACAUUCAUGUCAUUAAGUAAUUACAUAGUUCUGCAAUCUGAGUGCAGGUUUCUGUGUAAAUUGUAGUGUGUCAGUUAUACGAAUAGUGCCCACCAGUGUACUCCACAUGUUGCAGUAAAUAAAUGUAAAAAGAGUAAUACGUAAAACCAAAAGAACAAAAAAGAACACAUGAGCAGUGGGCUAGGUAACUUUGACUCACAGUGGUGUACGUGAGCUGAUGUAUUUUACCUGCAGUGUGUAACUUCCCAGGGAAACUGUUCAGUUAUGUGGUUGUAGUUUAUUAAGUGUUCUCUGAUUGCUUGGAUAUGUAAUCUGACCAUAAGCGUAGCACCUCUUUAGUCGCUUUACCCCUAUGGAGUUGGAUCUGGAUCAUACCUUUGUAAUCUAAGUUUUGUUGUUUGUUUAAUUAGACAAUUUAUUUUAAUAAUACUGUAGGGAUAAUUGUGGAGUAACAUAUUAAAAAUAAUAUUUUGUUUAAAUUAUGAAAAAUUAUUUUCCAGAUAAUAUGGCAAAAAAAUAAAUUUAGUUUGUCUGUGUACAUAAUUCCCGGUAUAUUAACCAUGUUUUUUAACUAUAUUAACCCUUGUAUAUAACCACUUCUAAAUAUAUCUAAAUAUAUAUGAGUGAUAAAAGUGUGAUCUAUAACUACAAUUGUCAGUUUCACUAACUGUCAUUUUCAAUAACUUUCAUUAACAGUAUUUAUAUUACCCUAAAUAUAUGUAAUGCAACAAUAGAGGAAAUUUAGGGCCCAAAUCACUCUGUCCCUUUUUUUACUCUUAACUCCUUAAUGACUGAGGCAGUUGUACAAGUUGUGAUAACAAAAAAUGUAAACAUAACUUUGAAUUUGCACUAUACGUCUAUUCAACCAGAAUUCACCUCUUUCAUAUUAAAUGCACCCACAUUUAUUAUAUAUAAUUUUGUUCAGGAGAAACAGGGUUUUUAUGUCAUAUCAAAUAUUUAUAUAUGAAACAAUUUAAUAUGCAUAAAAUAUAAAACUAAUUAAGAAAUUAAGAAAUGUUAUUUUUUUUAGUUCUGCAUGGAAUUUUAACUGUGAAUAGCAUAACACUGUUAACUGUUACUGCAAUAAAAUACACAUAUUUGUAUUCACUGAUGUCUCACGAGUAAACCAGUACCCCAA